Molecule: small nuclear RNA, 108 nt
Organism: Cynocephalus volans (Philippine flying lemur)
Lineage: Eukaryota; Metazoa; Chordata; Mammalia; Dermoptera; Cynocephalidae
Source: RefSeq, a predicted model, not a curated record
GUGCUCAGCGUCAGCAGCACAUACACUGAAGUUGGAACAACAUAGAGAAGAUUAGCAUGGCCCCUGCACAAGACUGAUAUGCAAAUUUGUGAAGUGCUGUGUAUUUUA